This 374-nucleotide ribosomal RNA is filed under the name uncultured organism. Its description in RNAcentral is "partial 16S ribosomal RNA". It matches the Rfam family "Bacterial small subunit ribosomal RNA", at positions 527 to 896 of the family's 1533-position model. The record is from RNAcentral.
GUAGGUGGCAAGCGUUGUCCGGAAUUAUUGGGCGUAAAGCGCGCGCAGGCGGUUCUUUAAGUCUGAUGUGAAGGCCCACGGCUCAACCGUGGAGGGUCAUUGGAAACUGGAGAACUUGAGUACAGAAGAGGAAAGCGGAAUUCCACGUGUAGCGGUGAAAUGCGUAGAGAUGUGGAGGAACACCAGUGGCGAAGGCGGCUUUCUGGUCUGUAACUGACGCUGAGGCGCGAAAGCGUGGGGAGCAAACAGGGAUUAGAUACCCUGGUAGUCCACGCCGUAAACGAUGAGUGCUAAGUGUUAGGGGGGUUUCCGCCCCCCUUAGUGCUGCAGCUAACGCAUUAAGCACUCCGCCUGGGAGUACGGCCGCAAGGCUG